Molecule: transfer RNA, 59 nt
Filed under: Stenotrachelus aeneus
Lineage: Eukaryota; Metazoa; Arthropoda; Insecta; Coleoptera; Stenotrachelidae
Description: tRNA-Ser
Source: RNAcentral
GAAAUAACAAAAAUUAAGCUUCUAACUUAAAUAAAAGCGAUAAAUUCGUUUAUAUUUCU